UUUGAUUACAGCCAUUCUAGUGUGGUUUUGAUUCACAUUUCCUUGUUGUCUUGUUGUGGAUGAGUAAGUUCAAACAAUAGAGAUGUGCCACACUCUGUGGCAGAUUCGAGUCUGUUUAUUAUAGCCAGCAGCCAAGAAGGGGCUAGUGCCCAGAAGUUUCCUCGGCAAUGGGAAGCAGUUUGAUUUCUCCUUUCAAAUCAUGCUUUAAGUUGGGGAGGGUUCAGUGGGGAGCAAGCAGAAUCUUACAGAAGCAGAACCAUACCAGGUUAGUGGAGCGGGGGGAGCACAAGGAAGUUUCACACACACUAGUAGAGCUACAAAACAUCCUGCAACUGCAGCAAGUUUACCACCAAGCGGGAUGUGGGGCUUUUGGGUGCUUUGUUCAUGUGCAAGCACUUUGUUCAAGCACAGGUACAAAAUGGCACUGAGGCACAAGAUGGAGCCAGGUUGGCUAACACAGACUAAGAAUGUUGAGAAUUUUUCAUAUGUGUUAUGGUUUAGGUCUAAAACCUCCCUCUAAAUUCUUCUGUGUACAGAGUUGGGGCUUUCAGAGGUGAUUGGAUCAGGAAGGUUCUAACUUCUCCAGUGGAUGAAUCCCCUGAUGAGACCAGAAUUUGAUGGCAUUACAGGGAAGAAAUGGAAGGUUGCCGUGGAAUGAGCAGCUUUGCUCUAGCAUGACCUUCUGCCCUGAUGUUCUGCUUUACCUCAGUCUAAUGUUGAACAUCAUAAAUAUUUAUAAUUUUUAUUGUUAUCAAGUGUCUUUACAGGUGUGAUAAAAAUACAUAAAUUCUGCUGCCAAGUGCCUGCCAGUGGACAGGCAGGAUCAUAAAAACACUAUGGUGUGUCUUCAUCCCCCAUAGUCACUGGAUCUGGUGCUGUGCCAGUUCUGGCUCUUCCCAAAGUCAAAAUGACCAGGAAAGGUGAGUGUUUUGAAUCAAUUCAGGACUUCAGGACAGCCACCACAGGGCAACUGAAGUCACUCAAGAAAGAGAACUUCCAGAAGUGAUGCAUAAGUGUG
RNAcentral lists this long non-coding RNA (1018 nucleotides) under Heterocephalus glaber (naked mole-rat). RNAcentral's name for it is "lncRNA (ENSHGLG00100040453.1)". Lineage: Eukaryota; Metazoa; Chordata; Mammalia; Rodentia; Bathyergidae. The record is from RNAcentral.